AGCAGAAGCAUCUGAGGCCGAGAACCAGUGUGGAUCCUUGAAGAUGGACGCUCUGAUUGUGAAGCUGCUCCAGCUCCAGAGGGCAGCGCGGCUUGGAGAGUGGAGUCACCACGUUGUGGGCAGCGGCGUGUCACCAGCCCAAAUUCCUGGAGACCCAAGCUCAGGGCGGCCAGGGAUAAGGACCAGGAGCAGAGCAGAUGCAGCUCCUCGCCCACAGGCCAGAUGAGGAGCCCCCUACACAACAAGAAGCAGAAACUCCUCCAACUCCUGUAAAAUCCAAAAUAAAAUGUUUGGAAGUGAUUUAUUUAUAAGAGGAACUCCUACACUCUGCCCUAAAGAUCGACAGCAGAAUGAAGCUGAAUACAGGUCACAAGAUGUAAACCGGAGGCAGACAAGUGGAAACAGUGUGGUCUACAGCCACGUCUUGACCUCUGGGAGCAGAACUCAGCAGCUGUAAUUAUUAAAAGGUUACAGGAAUUACAGUUUCACGUUCUUAAUUUUUAUGAUCCUCUUUAAAAUGAAUUAGAAAAGAGUGGGUUGUCAUUCCUUUUUUUUUCCAACAAAGGAUAUAUAAUAAUUUGUUUUGUUUAAACCAAACCUUGCCUACUGCCUGUGACCUUACUCACUGAACAAGCCCGGUUCAGAGGAAAGCUUGGUGUAAAGCAAUUACAGAAUCACUUCUUCAUCUUCCGUUCUGAGCCAUCUCCCCUUGUCUUCUGCAGUCACUGUGCUGGUUUCCCUCUAGAUGUUCAGUCAUGGCACCCCUCAGUCCUGCUUCCUCUCUGAUGGCUUCCUUUCACCUUCUAGCAAGAAUUUUGUUUGUCUUCUAUAAGUUUUUUUCCUGGUCUUAAAAGUUACAGUUAUAGUAAAAAUAUGAAGGAA
Dama dama (fallow deer) is the source of this 882-nucleotide long non-coding RNA. RefSeq lists it as uncharacterized. NCBI's taxonomy places the organism in Eukaryota, Metazoa, Chordata, Mammalia, Artiodactyla, Cervidae. The record is from RefSeq and is a predicted model, not a curated record. The transcript is spliced from 3 exons.